AAUAUAUGACGCCGUUGACUUUUUUUAAUGUUUGACCAUUCGUCUUAUUCAAAAAUUUUAUAUAACUUUAUUUUAUUGUGACUUGAUUCAUCAUCAAAUAUUCUUUAAGCAUGACAUAAAUAUUUUCAUAUUCGCACAAAAAUUUUAAAUAAAACGAAUGGUCAAGCGUUGGUCGAAAAGUCAACGACGUCAUUAAU
Molecule: microRNA precursor, 197 nt
Filed under: Oryza rufipogon (brownbeard rice)
Lineage: Eukaryota; Viridiplantae; Streptophyta; Magnoliopsida; Poales; Poaceae
Description: MIR812 microRNA precursor family
Rfam family: MIR812 microRNA precursor family
Source: Rfam by way of RNAcentral